Podarcis lilfordi (Lilford's wall lizard) is the source of this 1002-nucleotide non-coding RNA. NCBI's taxonomy places the organism in Eukaryota, Metazoa, Chordata, Lepidosauria, Squamata, Lacertidae. The record is from the annotation of a GenBank genome assembly.
CUGUUACCAUAAAGCACCAAUGCUGCAGCAAGCAAAGGCUCUAGCAGCUCAGCCAGCUGCUUGUGGCUGGAAAGCCAGACAGGAUGUUUGUGACUGUUGCCAUGGGAACAAAGGGGCAGUCCAUUCUGUACUGAGCACCGGAUGUUAGCUCAGUGUGUGUGUGUGUCAUAUGACCCGUACUGGAUGUACUUGGGAGGAGUUUCUUCUUGCUGUUGUUGAGUGCAGACAUGAUUCUCUGUACUGAUGUAAGAGGCAGAAAUAAAUGAUGUAAAUAGUUUUCUGUCUGCUUCUUUCCCCUCCCUGGGGACACCAAAGGGGAGAGAGGAAGAACGGUGUGUUCCUCUCAUACAUCUGAGAAGAAUCGCUGGACCUCGCCUGCUUAUCAGCAGAGUGGAGACGCAGGGAGGUCGACAGGAAUAUCUGCCGGUGCCUACGCUGUGGCACAUUCCUCUGACCCAGGCAGAAUUCCAACAGUGGUAGCAGAGGAUGGUUGCGAUUCAUCGGACAUCUGCAUGAGAGGCUGGUGGAUUGUCCUCCACUGCUCCUAAGGAGGAAUAGAAGCGUCUGAAAGAAGCCAGAGGCUCCACAGACAGCUGAUGGAAAGAAGAGGUGUUUUCCAGAGCAACAAAGUUCAAGGUAUGCUGCAUUUCGGGCUAAAAGUGUGAACGCAGGAAGAUUAAUUCCCUGGUUCACGGAGCUGCGUUUCAAAGAAAACAAAAGCUCCGAGAGGAAGAGGCCUGCAGCUUGAAGGCUGAAGCCUGCAUUCCACAAAUUUUUGUGGUAGAUAAGGAGUCCCAUUGAAAUGCAUUGUUGCUAGGCAACGGUCCUGGAAAGUUACUGGCAAGGGGCUGGACUCUGAGUGUAAGCCUGGGAAAGCGAAACAAAACCAGAGAAUGUUUUGGCUACAAGGUUUACGAGCUCUUGGAAGGGACUUUUCAAUAGCAGCCUGCGUUUAGCUGCCAGGUGCAAAGAGCGUAAACAAUUUGCAGUUUGCUGCGUGAG